Vicia faba (fava bean) is the source of this 357-nucleotide non-coding RNA. Lineage: Eukaryota; Viridiplantae; Streptophyta; Magnoliopsida; Fabales; Fabaceae. The record is from the annotation of a GenBank genome assembly.
AAAAAAGAACGAAGAGAGAGAAGGACCUGUUUGGCAAAAAGCAAAAUUUCAUUGAAAAAAGGCAUAAGAAAAAGGGGAUCCAAACAACAACUUGACACAAAUUCCUUCGUUCUUCUUCUAUUUCUCGAAGAACACUGCAAUACUCUCCAUCCGGUCCACACUCAACCGAAUAGCCCAACCUCCCUCCGCCCAGACCCACUCCAACCGGUCCACUCUUCGACAACCUCUCUUCACCGGACUGCCACCAUCACGCAGACAUCUCUCUCUGUUAACUCAAUCCUGUGCCAACAACAACAACACUUCUAUCUCCACCUUCAAGUGGGUAAUUUCAUUUCUAUCACCAUUUUUUUAUUUUAG